RNAcentral lists this ribosomal RNA (462 nucleotides) under uncultured bacterium. Its description in RNAcentral is "partial 16S ribosomal RNA". It matches the Rfam family "Bacterial small subunit ribosomal RNA", at positions 28 to 507 of the family's 1533-position model. The record is from RNAcentral.
GACGAACGCUGGCGGCGUGCUUAACACAUGCAAGUCGAACGGUAAGGCCUUUCGGGGUACACGAGUGGCGAACGGGUGAGUAACACGUGGGUGAUCUGCCCUGCACUUCGGGAUAAGCCCGGGAAACUGGGUCUAAUACCGGAUAGGACUGCGCGGUGCAUGCCGUGUGGUGGAAAGAUUUAUCGGUGCAGGAUGGGCCCGCGGCCUAUCAGCUUGUUGGUGGGGUAAUGGCCUACCAAGGCGACGACGGGUAGCCGGCCUGAGAGGGCGACCGGCCACACUGGGACUGAGACACGGCCUAGACUCCUACGGGAGGCAGCAGUGGGGAAUAUUGCACAAUGGGCGCAAGCCUGAUGCAGCGACGCCGCGUGAGGGAUGACGGCCUUCGGGUUGUAAACCUCUUUCAGCAGGGACGAAGCGUGAGUGACGGUACCUGCAGAAGAAGCACCGGCCAACUACGUG